This 404-nucleotide ribosomal RNA is filed under the name uncultured bacterium. RNAcentral describes it as "bacterial SSU rRNA". It matches the Rfam family "Bacterial small subunit ribosomal RNA", at positions 29 to 417 of the family's 1533-position model. The record is from RNAcentral.
AGCGAACGCUGGCGGCGUACUUAACACAUGCAAGUCGAACGGGGAUCGUCAGUGUAGCAAUACAUCGGCGGUUCUAGUGGCGCACGGGUGAGUAACACGUGGGUAACCUGCCCUUGAGUUCGGGAUACCCUUUCGAAAGGAAGGCUAAUACCGGAUACGUUCCUCGGAUUGCCAAAUCUGGGGAGGAAAGGUGGCGCAAGCUGCCGCUCUUGGAGGGGCUCGCGGCCUAUCAGCUAGUGGUGAGGUAACGGCUCACCAAGGCUAUGACGGGUAGCUGGUCUGAGAGGACGACCAGCCACACGGGAACUGAGACACGGUCCCGACUCCUACGGGAGGCAGCAGUGGGGAAUUUUCCGCAAUGGGCGAAAGCCUGACGGAGUGACGCCGCGUGGGGACGAAGGCCU